UUCACUCCACAUGCCUCUUCCCUUUGCUGAUUUUUUUUUUUUGGGGGGGGGGGCUUUGUGUCCUUCCACUGGAUUACAUCGUAGCCCUAAGUGUGAUUGUAUGUUAGGUCCUGUGAGUUCUCCCAGGAUAUGACCAAACUCGGGGGUGCUCUGGGACCCACCCACACACUGGCCAUACAAGUUUAACUGAAGUUCCAAUGUGAUGGAUGACAGGAAGUAGUGUACGAGGAGAGAACAUACCUUAAGAGAGGAAAUUCUUUCAGAGAUCUCAAGAGUUUGAUCUACUACCAGCUGUGGUUCUGCCAUGUGGAGACUCUACCAACACUUAGAUGGUGUUUUCACAAGUGUGCGCUGACUAUCCUGUAAUUCAACUGCACGGAGGAGCACGACAGCCAAGGCUGGAACGAGCUCACACUGUUGAGCGUUACAGAAGGGACAUUACGGACAUUCAGGAGAGAAAAUAUUUAUAAGAGAGAGCAAGCGGCGACUCAAACAGGGGAAUGGCCUAAAAGGACUGGAGGACCACCUUGUCGCACAUAGAGAAGUGACACUUUUAGGCAUGUGAUUGAGAUUGUUUUUUUUUUUUCCCCUAGCUUUAUAUUUUUAGCUUUCCUAGUAUAUGCUACUAUCUAGGCCUCUAACCAUGUCUAUAUCAGAUACCACACAGGAUUUCAAUAAAAUUUACAUCUUUACCGUAUAUGA
This is a long non-coding RNA of Peromyscus maniculatus bairdii (prairie deer mouse), 702 nucleotides long. RefSeq lists it as uncharacterized. Lineage: Eukaryota; Metazoa; Chordata; Mammalia; Rodentia; Cricetidae. The record is from RefSeq and is a predicted model, not a curated record.